Molecule: transfer RNA, 71 nt
Filed under: Iphisa elegans
Lineage: Eukaryota; Metazoa; Chordata; Lepidosauria; Squamata; Gymnophthalmidae
Description: tRNA-Ile
Source: RNAcentral
AGGAAAUGUGCCCGAAAUAUAAGGACUACUUUGAUAGAGUAAUACACAGGGACACCACCCCUCAUUUCCUU